RNAcentral lists this long non-coding RNA (671 nucleotides) under Homo sapiens (human). RNAcentral's name for it is "HSALNT0083841". The record is from RNAcentral. Lineage: Eukaryota; Metazoa; Chordata; Mammalia; Primates; Hominidae.
GUUUGAUUAACAUGAUCCUUGGCCAUGUUGGUUGUUGGUCUUGGAAUCUAAAAAAUGGUGAAAUGUGGCUCAGCAGUUGUUUCAGCCCAAUGUGUCAAUUUCAUAUUGUAUCCUUCUUCCCAGGCCUUGGAUACAGGAGAUGCCCCAUUACGGCCCUUGGGUGAUGGCUGUCAUGGGCACUGCGUCCUUGGAUGGAGCGUGACUUUCUUUGGGAUGUAUAACACAUAUUCUGUGUAUCUUGUACUCCUUGUCCUUUUCUCCCAUCUUUAAAUUAUAACCUCAGAAAAGUCUAGUGUAAGGUCAGAGGUUUCACAUUUUUCUCUUGGCCUUGCUUCUCUUUAAUAACUGGAAUCCCAGUUCCACCUCCAGGCAAUUGUGUUGCUCCUGCUGAAGACCUCCAGGGAAUGAAAGGCUGUGCAGGGGCUGGGCUGGGCUUGGAGACGGCAUGUUGCAGAGUUAAUUUUAGGAGUUCUUUUCUUAAAUUAAGCAUCUACGCUGGCAUUUUUUUUUUCUGUUUCAGUGAUUGUGACCUGGGUACACCAACCCAGCCUUUGAUCUGUGUAAAGUGAAAACAGGUAUAUGAAUAUACAAACACAACAAAGGCUUGUCUUUGGGGGAAAGCUCUGCUAAAAUGUGCAUGCACCUAAACCAUAAGCGAAACUAUGUAAUUG